Long non-coding RNA from Gasterosteus aculeatus aculeatus (three-spined stickleback), 1139 nucleotides. The record is from Ensembl. Lineage: Eukaryota; Metazoa; Chordata; Actinopteri; Perciformes; Gasterosteidae.
UCUCUGAAUCAUUUCUGAGAAUAAUAUUGAUUUACAUGCAAUUUUCAGAUUAUUCUAGUGUGUUUUACAUAUCUGACAUAAAAAGUGGGAAAAUAAAACUGUUGAACCAACUUCUGAUGAACUUCAAGUUAUCUGAAAAAUUUCCAACCUUCAGAGAUACAUUGUUUUUAGCAUAAAGCGACAAGGUGGAACUCUAGUGUACCAUCAUAUCCAAAAUCAAAAUGAGUUUCAGAGUUUCAGUGUCCAUUUGACUUUGCUGCGUACGCUUCAUCCGUCUCCAAAGGCAGCGGUGCACUUCACAACAAGACGAUCUCCAUACCACAAUAAAUCAAAAGGAAAGCGUCCCUCUCUCACUAGAGACUUUAGUGACCGAGUGAAAAGAGUCAGACGACUCUGGAUUCACAAAGUCAAAGAUCAGAACACAACCAUCAUAACGGAAUUCUCCUGAUGUUCAACCCGUCGACGGACAACUUGUUUUUCUUUUUCCUCCAAGGAUAAAAGGCCGUCACAAUUAAGAGAAGAAACAGCACAGCGAAUUGCACUCCACACACGAGCAGGGAGGAACCUGCAUGACAAAAAUCACAAGUCAACUCUGUUCAGAGGCAGAAAAGACAGUUUCACUGGUUAACAUCCUGUGUUUUACACCUACAGCACUUUAUUUUUAAUCAUGCUGGAGUUUGAAUAUUUUUAAAAAACACCAAAUCACCCCGACCACUAACAGAAGUACGAGUGCAGCCGGUACACAAACAGCUGCUGUCAAUAUUCUGACUGUAAAAAAAGACACAAGAGACACACAUAGCUUUAACUUUAGUAAACAUUACAGGUGUUUUCUUUGAGAAUGGAGAACACAGAUAAUGGAAAUGACUUGAAUGAAUUAAAUACAGGGGAGUCCGUUUUCACUUACUGAUGCCCCAUGAGUCACUACUGGGGGAGAGGGUCCCAGUUUUAUUGGUGGAUGUGAAAUUACAUUUGAGGUUAGUUGAUCCUGUGAUACCAGACUCCUCACCAUCACGUGGCGAUGCUGUGUCUGUGGGGGAAACUGAGUAUUAGUGGCUUUAAACCAGUGUUGGGCAAGUUACUGAAAAUUAGUAAUUAGUUACAGUUACUAGUUACUUCUUUUAAAGGUAAUUUAAUUACUU